This 379-nucleotide ribosomal RNA is filed under the name uncultured eukaryote. RNAcentral's name for it is "partial 18S ribosomal RNA". It matches the Rfam family "Eukaryotic small subunit ribosomal RNA", at positions 592 to 975 of the family's 1831-position model. The record is from RNAcentral.
CAAUAGCGUAUAUUAAAGUUGUUGCGGUUAAAAAGCUCGUAGUUGGAUUUCUGCCGAGGACGACCGGUCCGCCCUCCGGGUGAGUAUCUGGUUUGGCCUGGGCAUCUUCUUGGAGAACGUAGCUGCACUUGACUGUGUGGUGCGGUGUCCAGGACUUUUACUUUGAGGAAAUUAGAGUGUUUCAAGCAGGCACACGCCUUGAAUACAUUAGCAUGGAAUAAUAAGAUAGGACCUCGGUUCUAUUUUGUUGGUUUCUAGAGCUGAGGUAAUGAUUAAUAGGGAUAGUUGGGGGCAUUCGUAUUUAACUGUCAGAGGUGAAAUUCUUGGAUUUGUUAAAGACGGACUACCGCGAAAGCAUUUGCCAAGGAUGUUUUCAUUG